Planococcus rifietoensis is the source of this 67-nucleotide small RNA. It matches the Rfam family "Bacillaceae-1 RNA". The record is from Rfam. NCBI's taxonomy places the organism in Bacteria, Bacillati, Bacillota, Bacilli, Caryophanales, Caryophanaceae.
AGCGGAGGAAGCUAAGCUAAGAACGCGACGUCCUGUCGCAACGCUUAGCUGACCCACAUCCUGUGGC